This is a long non-coding RNA of Pseudomyrmex gracilis, 1243 nucleotides long. RefSeq lists it as uncharacterized. NCBI's taxonomy places the organism in Eukaryota, Metazoa, Arthropoda, Insecta, Hymenoptera, Formicidae. The record is from RefSeq and is a predicted model, not a curated record. The transcript is spliced from 6 exons.
UGCCUCUCUAUUUUUAUCACUUAAUGUAUACAUACUGAUGUAGCAAAUUAACUAAAACAAAGUUGAUUCACGUUAGUCGUAUGUGUGAAGCGAUAGUGUACCCAUGGCUACUGAUAAAGUUCAUUUACUGUAUUUUAUACGAAUUUCAACAAGGAAGAAAUGCUACAGAAGCAUGUAGAAAUUUAUUGAAAGUGUUUGGUGAAGGUACAGUUUCUGAUAGGACAUGCAGAAGAUGGUCCGAAAAAUUCGAAACAGGUGAUUUCGACCUUUCUGAUAAGCCACGUUCUGGGCGACCAUCUUUGGUCGAUGACGAUGUUGUUAAGACCAUGUUGGAGCAAGAUCCUUUUCUGACAACAUCGGAGAUCGCAAAAAGGCUUAAUUCAGCUCAGCAAACCAUUUCGGACCAUAUUCGGAAGAUAGGAUUGAAAAAUUUGGAAAAAUUUGUAUUUUGUUUUAUUCCAAAAACGGACAGAACUUUCCGGUAGACCUAAUAUUUUAACCAACUUGAUUUGUACAAAGUGACAGUAAUCAAAGGCUGCGUCGAUUCUGUAUUAAACUAUCUACUGCUUAAAUCACAGUUGUGACCAUCAUGAACCAAACACCCAAAGCAGUAUAUAAUCGAUUUGAGUCAUGGUAAUCAAUAUUAUGAAAUAAACAGUAGAUAGGUUAAUACAGAAACGACGCACCAUUUGUCACUUCGUAGAAACCAGUUUAGAUAAAAUAUGGACAAACAGAAUAAGGAAGACAUUAUGAAUAUAGAAUUUGAUUUUGAUGAGUAUUUUUGUUGAGCGACGAUUCGUCAUUUGAAAAAAGACAUCCUGCUGCAAAUCCUAGUGUUGCGAUUUCAGGAAGAUCCGCAAGUCCUCCAAAAACUCUGUCUAAUGACAGUAUGCAUAAUUUUCCAGCACUUAGCUGCUCUCAAAAAACAAAAUCUCCAGACGUUGCAUAUGCUUCGCAAACAGUUCCAAGCAGAACAUAAACAGGUAAAACUCCAGUCGUUCAAACUCCAGUUCUUGCGAGACAGAUAACUUUGAAAGAAACAUCAAUUGCCACUUCGCAAAUAAAUUCAGGACCAGCUCCUAGAUCAAUCGACUCAGAUCAGAGAAAUUGAAGACCGAGAGGUAGUAGAGCCGGUGUGGCGCGACAACAAGAAAGGUUUAUGAGAUUUUUAUAUAGAUUAUUGGCAGCACUAUAUAACUGGGGAUUUAGAAAAAGAAAAUAUACAAACAAAGAAUAGAAGAAA